CGUCUUCCAGAAGAAAAAAAAACAGAAGUCUACAGCUCACUUCUCCUGGUUCCUCUCGGUCAUCUGUGCUCUGCUGGGCAGGACUCCUGUGGUUCCCAGCACCAUCAGCUGUGGCAGGGGGGUUCCCCA
Long non-coding RNA from Phyllostomus discolor (pale spear-nosed bat), 129 nucleotides. RefSeq lists it as uncharacterized. The record is from RefSeq and is a predicted model, not a curated record. Lineage: Eukaryota; Metazoa; Chordata; Mammalia; Chiroptera; Phyllostomidae. The transcript is spliced from 3 exons.